RNAcentral lists this ribosomal RNA (404 nucleotides) under Actinomycetes bacterium. RNAcentral describes it as "Actinobacteria bacterium partial 16S ribosomal RNA". It matches the Rfam family "Bacterial small subunit ribosomal RNA", at positions 355 to 776 of the family's 1533-position model. The record is from RNAcentral. Lineage: Bacteria; Bacillati; Actinomycetota; Actinomycetes.
UGGGGAAUAUUGGACAAUGGGCGCAAGCCUGCUCCAGCCAUGCCGCGUGAGUGAUGAAGGCCCUAGGGUUGUAAAGCUCUUUCACCGGUGAAGAUAAUGACGGUAACCGGAGAAGAAGCCCCGGCUAACUUCGUGCCAGCAGCCGCGGUAAUACGAAGGGGGCUAGCGUUGUUCGGAUUUACUGGGCGUAAAGCGCACGUAGGCGGACUUUUAAGUCAGGAGUGAAAUCCCGGGGCUCAACCCCGGAACUGCCUUUGAUACUGGAAGUCGUGAGUAUGGUAGAGGUGAGUGGAAGUCCGAGUGUAGAGGUGGAAUUCGUAGAUAUUCGGAGGAAAAACAGUGGCGGAGGCGGCUCACUGGACCAUUACUGACGCUGAGGUGCGAAAGCGUGGGGAGCAAACAGG